Long non-coding RNA from Archocentrus centrarchus (flier cichlid), 1593 nucleotides. RefSeq lists it as uncharacterized. The record is from RefSeq and is a predicted model, not a curated record. The transcript is spliced from 4 exons. NCBI's taxonomy places the organism in Eukaryota, Metazoa, Chordata, Actinopteri, Cichliformes, Cichlidae.
UUUUAUUCAGGGGGCGUGCCGGGAAACGGUCAAGUACACGGGAGCCGCAUUGGGAGUGACGGCGCUUGGGCUGACUGCCUUGGCUAUAAAGAAAAGAAAUCCAAUGAUCAUGCUACCAGUUGUGCCACAAAUUAUAAUUGUGGGAUCACAACUGGACUGUGGAUAUGGCAGCUUGGUCGAGUGAAUUAACAGGCAGGCAGAAAGUAUAAAACAAUCAAGACCCCCAAAAUAAGAUGUGGCUUCGAGCAGCUCCUGCGGUCAUCAAACAUUUGAGAGGAAAGACUGUGAGCCUUUCCUGUCCUCUAAGGCUUUCCUGAACUUCAGGUUUGACAGAGAUGCCAUCAUGAAGAGUUUUGACUACUGAUAUCACUGCUGUUGAUCUGUGCCUCCUCUGUAACAUCAAACCUCGAUCUCAGGAGACUUUUUUAAGUUAUGGAUGUGAGUAAACAAGCUCCUUCUCAUCUUGACUUGCUUUUCGUGCGCACACAUUUACCAAGGGAAGUUGCCUGUUUGUCAUUGGCAGCAUGGAGUAUCACGUAGUAGAGGACUACACAGGUAAAUCAUCUUUUACAGGCAAAUUAUGUUUUGAAAACAUUUACUGUCAACAUUUUAUGAUGACAGUAAAAGGUGGGAAAUGAAUCAUUAGUGCAUUUGGCCAGCAAAUCAUUAUUAAAUCUGUCAAGUUAUGUAUUGAUUUUAAGGUAUUUGGAUAAUAGUCUCCUCCAGUCAUUCAGUUAGGUAGCAUAAAUGUUCUGCAUGCUGACUUUUAACAGUGAUAUUAAAUUACAGUGUUAUUAGCUUCUUUUUCCCUCUAAAGCUACUUAAGAUUUUAUGCAAGAACAUAACGACUUGGGAGAGGAGGAAAGUUGUCUUUAAAUUAAAUCUGAUUAAAUUCACGUGACUCUGUUGUGUACGGCUGCCAGUAUUUGAAACAAAAUCACUAAAUCAGACUGAUGUUUGAGGAUCCAGGAUUAAAUGAGAAGGUCAGCCAUGAUGAGAAUUUCCAUCCUGAAAACUAACUGAAUGACCGUGAAACGAGAUGCUGCAUCAGAAUGAAAUCAAACUGAGGACAGUUCAGAUGGAGCCUGGACUGUAUCCCAGAUUAAAUGAAAAUUUAAAAGGCUGACUUUUGUCAUAUAUCAUGCACCCAAAAGUCUGUUUUUAACAGUCUUAAUUAUAACUUGUUGCCAUCUCAAUUUCCAAUAUUUCUUAAAGGAAAAGUUCUCCAUUAUUGCGACAGUACUCAUGUCACAUGAUGGAAGAUAACUGCAGUGAACCACUACAUUUGAAAACAAAAGCAAAGUCAGUUUUCAGAGAUUAAAUUUCCAUCACAUGAGUACCUGUUCUGGAAGUCUUUCAACCCACGUGUAGCACUUCUUAUUCUCCCAACGUGGUGUCAUACACAUGAGCAAUGACUGCAAUGCAAGAGCUCCUCGUGUGAAGUUCAUUCCUGGGACUUGGAAUUGACUGUAAUUGAUUUUGUGGUGUUUUGACUUUAAAUGGGAAUGUUAAUAAAGUCUGUUUCUUAUUUCAUUCUCAGCUUUUAACUUCCUAAAAAAUAAAAUCAAGAUACAUCAAGAAAUACAGUUCAAA